This 246-nucleotide unclassified non-coding RNA is filed under the name Glomeraceae sp. RNAcentral describes it as "partial contains 5.8S ribosomal RNA and internal transcribed spacer 2". The stretch from base 1 to 65 matches the Rfam family "5.8S ribosomal RNA", at positions 84 to 154 of the family's 154-position model. Lineage: Eukaryota; Fungi; Glomeromycota; Glomeromycetes; Glomerales; Glomeraceae. The record is from RNAcentral.
GUGAAUCAUCGAAUCUUUGAACGCAAAUUGCACUCUCUUCGGAGAGUAUGCCUGUUUGAGGGUCAGCCUAAAAAAAAUCGACAUCGUUGCCGUUUCGCGGUGGCGUUCGUCGGAAAUUGGGUUAUCUUAAAUCUUUGGUUUAAGCGACUUAAAAUUUUCUUUACGAUUCCAUGGACGUUUCCAAGAUUCAUUUCUUUACACGUUUAAGGUAUCGAUUUUAUUAGGCGUGUUCGUUAUAUCGGAUCA